UACGGAAGGGACUAGCGUUAUUCAGAAUAAUUGGGCGUAAAGAGCAUGUAGAUUGGUUAUUAACCUAAAAAUUAAGUAAAGCCUUCAAGAAUAUUGAAGAAACACUUAUAGAACUGAUAACCUAGAGGAUAGAAGGAAGUAAUGGAAUUUUUAGUGUAGAGGUAAAAUUCGUAGAUAUUAGAAGGACCUCCAAAAGUGAAGACAAUUAUUUAGUCUAUACCUGACGUUGAGAUGCGAAAGCGUGGGGAGCAAACAGGAUUAGAAACCCACG
RNAcentral lists this ribosomal RNA (271 nucleotides) under uncultured bacterium. RNAcentral describes it as "partial 16S ribosomal RNA". It matches the Rfam family "Bacterial small subunit ribosomal RNA", at positions 524 to 790 of the family's 1533-position model. The record is from RNAcentral.